Molecule: ribosomal RNA, 463 nt
Filed under: uncultured bacterium
Lineage: Bacteria
Description: partial 16S ribosomal RNA
Rfam family: Bacterial small subunit ribosomal RNA
Source: RNAcentral
GAUGAACGCUGACAGAAUGCUUAACACAUGCAAGUCGAUGGGGAAGUGGUGCUUGCCCCAUGGCAACCAUGGCGGACGGGUGAGUAACGCGUAAGGGACUUACCUGCAGGACUGGGAUAACAGGGGGAAACUCCUGACAAGACCGGAUAAUGUCAUGGAGCUGCAUGGCUUUAUGAUGAAAGGAGACGCCUGCGGAGAGCCUUGCGUCCUAUUAGCUAGUUGGUGAGGUAAUGGCUCACCAAGGCGAAGAUAGGUAGCCGGCCUGAGAGGGUGGACGGCCACAAGGGGACUGAGAUACGGCCCUUACUCCUACGGGAGGCAGCAGUGAGGAAUAUUGGACAAUGGGGGCAACCCUGAUCCAGCAAUUCUGUGUGCACGAAGAAGGUUUUCGGAUUGUAAAGUGCUUUCAGAAGGGAAGAAGUAAGUGACGGUACCUGCAGAAGAAGCGACGGCUAAAUACGUG